GUUCCCUCUCUCUUCGUCUCCUACUUCUCUCCUUCUUCCUCAACAUAACAAUGACACCCUCAUUAACCCCGGCCUAGAAAACCCCAAACGGAGGUGGUCAGAAGUGGCGGCGACCUUAAAUACCCUCAACCCUAAACUCAAUUUUAGAACCACAACAAUAAUAGCAUUAAUCAAAAUGAAAACAAAACCUAAGCUAAGUAUUUUGAGGGAUACCGUCUGUGCCGUGAAUCUUGAUUUUUGUGCUUCUGAUUCUUUUGGUUCCCUCGAUCUAAUCCUUCUCCUUCUUCUGAUUCGCAUGUGUUGA
This is a non-coding RNA of Vicia faba (fava bean), 304 nucleotides long. The record is from the annotation of a GenBank genome assembly. Lineage: Eukaryota; Viridiplantae; Streptophyta; Magnoliopsida; Fabales; Fabaceae.